AGAGGAAUAGCUGGGUCAAAUGGUGGUUCCAUUCCCAGAUUUCCAAGGAAUCUCCAUACUGCUUUCCAUAUUGGCUGCACCAAUUUGCAGUCCCAGCAGCAAU
RNAcentral lists this microRNA precursor (103 nucleotides) under Marmota monax (woodchuck). The record is from RNAcentral. Lineage: Eukaryota; Metazoa; Chordata; Mammalia; Rodentia; Sciuridae.